UACGUAGGGUGCGAGCGUUAAUCGGAAUUACUGGGCGUAAAGCGUGCGCAGGCGGCUUUGCAAGACAGAUGUGAAAUCCCCGGGCUCAACCUGGGAACUGCUUUCAAAACUGCUGAGCUAGAGUACGGUAGAGGGUGGUGGAAUUUCCUGUGUAGCGGUGAAAUGCGUAGAUAUGCGGAGGAACACCAAUGGCGAAGGCAAUCCCCUGGGCCUGUACUGACGCUCAUGCACGAAAGCGUGGGGAGCAAACAGG
This 253-nucleotide ribosomal RNA is filed under the name uncultured bacterium. RNAcentral describes it as "partial 16S ribosomal RNA". It matches the Rfam family "Bacterial small subunit ribosomal RNA", at positions 524 to 776 of the family's 1533-position model. The record is from RNAcentral.